This 1256-nucleotide long non-coding RNA is filed under the name Chelonoidis abingdonii (Abingdon island giant tortoise). RNAcentral describes it as "lncRNA (ENSCABG00000010963.1)". Lineage: Eukaryota; Metazoa; Chordata; Testudines; Testudinidae. The record is from RNAcentral.
AUGCUACUGCAGGAUCAACCAGGUAGCCGCGCUCCAUGGGGAACGGAAGACGCGGGGGCCCUCCCCGUGGGGGGUGGGGGACAAACCCCCGGCGCCCAGCGGGCCCACCACCGCCUUCCCCCGGGAAGGGGAAGAGCGGGGCCCGCGACGCGGCUACUCGCUCUCGAGAGGGACCGACGGGGAUGGCGAUCCCCCCCAAAAUCGGACCCGGGCCACCCGACGAACGGACGGACGUCAGGCGGGGACGGAAGGGCUGAGGGCCCUCGGGACCCCAGCGAGAGUCCCUUUUGCCGGCUCCCUCAGCAGCGGUGGACAGCAGAGGGGGAAAACGCCACUGGCAGAGUGCUCCGGGAGCCGCCGAGGAAGGACGGCGGAAGAGAUGGGGUGAGCCUCCAAAGAGAGCCCCCCUUCCCCCCGCUUUCCCAGGCGGCCCGGGUCACACAGCGCAGCAGGGUGGAAACCCCAGCCGCCCCCGCCAGGCGGGCUUUUCGCCAGUGGAGCGCUCUGGGAGCCUUCGGGGAAGGAUGGCGGAAGAGACAGGGUGAGCCUCCGAAGAGAGCCCCCCAUCCCCCCGCUUUCCCAGGCGGCCCUGGUGAUGUGUCGCCGGAGCAAAGCCCACCCGUGUGGGAAGGAGAGCGAGACAGGGCGAGGGCGCCGCCGAAAUGACCCGGCACCUGCCUACUACCGCUCUCUCCCCGCAUUCCACGGUGCUCCGGGUGACAGCCGGGAAAGCCUGCGGCAGCGAGGGCGGGGACGGGCCCCCUGAUGCUGCUUUUCUGCUUCCCGGUGCUCUGGGCGGCACCAAAGAAAGGGGAACGGGAGCCGGAAGGACGGACGGAGCCGGGCCCCCGCGAGCCCGACCCUUCGCUCCCCCCCGCGCUUUUCUUUCCCUGUGGGUGGCCCUUCGGUUAACGUGACGGCGCGGCUCGGAGGCCGCCGCCACCGCCUUCCAAGGCAACGCGCUAGAGAAGAAGAGGGUGACCCAGACGGGGAGGGCAGCGAGGGGUACUGGCGCUCCAGCGAGAGGGCAGUACGAGGGCCCCCGAGGGAACCGCAGCGCUCCCCUGCUCGCUCUAUCGACCGUGUUUGGCCCCGCUGAGCCUCGCCGGCGUCUGGGUGUUUUUCAGACCCCUGGGUGGUGGUCUGCCGGAGCCGCUCGGCCUCGCACGGCAGAGAUCUCGGCCCCACGGCCCCUCGUGCGGACGAGCGAGAGGUGGGGGGAGCCGGCCCGCGCCCGGUCGGUCCCCGCCACCAAA